This 1572-nucleotide unclassified non-coding RNA is filed under the name Leishmania donovani. Its description in RNAcentral is "gene:LdHU3.28.1850(CDS-product:haloacid_dehalogen ase-like_hydrolase-like_protein)". The record is from RNAcentral. Lineage: Eukaryota; Euglenozoa; Kinetoplastea; Trypanosomatida; Trypanosomatidae.
UUCCGCCCGGUAGGGUGCCGAUACGCUCAGCAAGGCACGUGUGCUCUGAAAGAUCGUCUUUUAUCGUCCAAUAACGCCAGCAGUGUGGACGGCGUCUUUUGCAGUGCUGGGACGCGCGUCCAUGUAGUUUACCGUAGUGGCCCUUUUCCCUCCUCCCCUGUCAGAAUUCGAGGCAAUGAUGUCGCCGAAGAUCAAGGCUGUGUUCGUGGACAUGGAUGGCACUCUGUUCGACUCUGGCCACUUCAUUAGCCCCCGCACCGCGAAGGUGAUACAUGCACUCGAGGAGCGAGGUGUCGCCUUCGUUGUAGCCACAGGACGUCCGUUUCCGGACGUCUUUGGCAACCUUGCCAAGGCGGGGCUAAGACCAGAUUUCAUCAUUACCAGUAAUGGGGCUCGCGUCCAUGACGCCCAGCACAACAUUGUCUUUGCGUGCGACAUGGACGCUGAGAGCGUCUGCCGGCUCUUUCAGCUGUCGCCGCACCUCAGGGAGGAUGGAGUGGUUGACCCGGCAGUGGAGGCGCGACGCAUCUUGUUCAACGUCAACUGCGGGGAUCGCUGGCUCACCAACGAGUGCAUUCCAGAGGUCCGUGCAGCCUUCCACCCCUCAUUCAUCUACGAGCGGGUCGAUCCGAUGGUGCACACCGCCAAGACGCUCAAGGGUACGCACAGCAUGUGGAUCCGCGGCGCGCACGCGGAUCUGGUGUGCGUGCAGAAGUACGUGGACCGCGAGCUUUCCCACGAGAUCGGCUGCACCUUCGCACUACCCCACAUCCUCGACUGCUUCCGCAAGGGUGUCGACAAGGGUGCCGCCAUGGAGAAGGUGUGCAAACACCUCCGCAUCGAUCUCAGAGAGACCAUCGCGUUCGGCGAUGGCAUGAAUGAUAUCCGCAUGCUCACUGCGGCAGGGCAGGGCUUUGUUAUGGCGAACGCGGCAGAGAUGGUGAAGCAAGCCGCACCUGAGCUCCCGGUUAUUCAGUCGAACAACGAGGAAGGCGUUGCGCGGAAGCUCGAGGAGCUGCUGGCGGCCGACGCCUUUGUCGGUUAAUGGCAAAACGGCGAGGCAAUGGCGUCUCCGUCGACUUCAGGCAAGUGGAGAAACCUGCCCCGCGUGACGGUGUGCGCAAGUAACAAAGCCACGUCACCUUCGGGCUUCAAGAAGGUUACAAACGACCUUGGCGGCCCCACUUGUCCCAGCUUCCCUGUUCUUUCUCUACACAUCCGUUCAUGAGCGGUUGUGUUGUUCGACCUGCUGAGCCAUCGGAGCUCCAUCCCUCCCUCCCCCCCCCACCAGCCAAUGCGCUAAUGAGGGUGCGCAUCGCGAACUCCUGUUUCUUUUUCUUUCGGUUCUUAUUGAUUGUGUUUUGCGCUAACGAGGGCUCCCCUCGUUGCAUCCACUCGUGGAUCGGCGCACGAUCGAGUGAGAAAGAGGGAGAGAGCAGGGGAGCGGAGGCCUGACCUCUCAAGGUCUCGCGGUGCAACAAUCUCAUCUUGCUUGGACCGCCCUCGAAAACAGCAGCCCGCUUUUUCAGUCCUCGCAUAAAUGAACAGGGAGGAAAUAUCAGUAGCGCAACG